Molecule: long non-coding RNA, 1415 nt
Organism: Leopardus geoffroyi (Geoffroy's cat)
Lineage: Eukaryota; Metazoa; Chordata; Mammalia; Carnivora; Felidae
Exons: 3
Source: RefSeq, a predicted model, not a curated record
CCAUACUGUUUUCCAGAGUGGCUGCACCAGUUUGCAUUCCCACCAGCAGUGCAAAAGUGUUCCCCUUUCUCCAUAUCCUCGACAACAUCUGUUGUUUCAGGGUUGUUCAUUUUAGUGUAGUUUGCUUUUAAUCAGCAAAAGGAAAAGAAAGAAAGAAACCGCCCAGAUGCCCAUUCCAGCACCAUAGUGCAACCCUGUAGCACUGUUGCAAGACAGAGCAGAAGCUUCUGUUUCAGAGGCGGGUUUCGCACCAGUCAGUUGACUGGGGCAGGGUGGGGCCAUUGACUCUCAGAAUCUCUUUCUGUAAAAUAACGCAGUGAUCUCUGGGGACCUUCCAGCUCUGAAAUGCGAUUGACCCAGUGGAGAGCUGCCACCUGUCCCUUCUCUUGUGCGUGAGCAGGAAGCAUUUCUGGGAACACUGUUAAGACGUGAAGUGCCAAGGGGAGCACACAAGUUCAGGACCAUCUCUGCCACCAGGUUGCCUACAGUUGGGAGUCUUCCCCAGGGUCUCGGGAACAACGGCUGAAUGGAAAAUCAGUGAGAAUGAGUGAGAGCCCCAGAUUUUGAUGGCCUCGCUGGCAUCAUUCACUCUGCAGCACAGCACAGAAGAGGGGGGCCCACUGGGAUUUGUUUGGCUCAGCUCGUGGAGGCAAAGCCCCAGAGCCCACCCACCCAUGCUGUGGGGGAGCCAAAGCAGCCCAUGGACGACAGACCCCCACGGAAAGGAACCUGGCUCCCAGCCCACAGAUAGCCAGCACUCAUUUGCCAGCCGUGAGAGUGAGCCGUUUUGGAAGUGUCCUCUCCCACUCUGCCAACUGGAGUCGUUACCCCAGCUGAUGCUUCGUGGAGCCCGGAUCAGCCAUCCUGUGAGCUAUACCCAAAUUGCAGAUUGAUGAGGAAAUUAAUUAUUUUUUGUUAUUUUUUAAGCCAUUAAGUUUGGGUGGGGGCAAAAAUAACCUAUACACUAACUCCCCCAGUCUAGACUUUGGAGCAGUCUACCAGGGAGAAGAAAAAAAAUUGAGAUACCCUGUGUUUAAAGUGUUUGAUAGAUGAACUCUACCUUAGUAGAGAAAGAAUGGUUCAGUGACUGUUGUUCCUAAGGCAAGCCACACAUUCUCGUUUUCCAGGAAUUUUUCCACUUCCAGCAGUGAAAAUCCCAGGUGUUGGGCAUUCCUUCAGUCCUGGGGAAGCCAGGAUGGGUGGUCACCCUAGUUGCCCCCAAGCAGAGAACUGUUCCGCUUCCAUGAGAAUGAAGUAGGUUUGGAAAGAGGCCAGGUGUUUAGGAGAAAUUCCUCUUAGUGGAGAGCAUGAUUAGAAAGGACUGUUGUGCUAAUUGAAUGACCUCGGGCAAUUCCUCUUUGUCUCAGUUUUUGUCUCCGUCAAAUGGACAUAAUAAAGUAACUACUGGAGAAGUA